This is a long non-coding RNA of Taeniopygia guttata (zebra finch), 7058 nucleotides long. The record is from Ensembl. Lineage: Eukaryota; Metazoa; Chordata; Aves; Passeriformes; Estrildidae.
UUUUUUUUUUUUUUUUUUUUUUUUUUUUUUUUUUUUUUGGUUUGGUUUGGGUUUUUUUUUGAGUGAUUCUAAAACUCUGGAAAUGUAAGGAUUUAGCAUAUUAAAACACUGAAAUGCAUUUGGGAAGAAAAAUCACUAUUUCUAGCUAGGACUUUCUGUGCCAAAUGUAUGUUAAUGAAAACAUUCACAGUUUAAAUUAAAAUGUGUUAGCAAAUCUGCCAGCAGAUUUUUUUAGCAAAAUAUUGUCUGUAAAUCUGCAAACCAGUUCAGGAUACCUUUAUUUUUCUGUUUGAAAUUAUGGAAAUAGGAAAUGCAGUUAUAAGGUUACAAGAAUAAACUUAGUGACCACACUACACAAAUACCAGUUAAUAUUAAACUAUUUUAAGCAGUCUACUAAUUUAACAAACCCAAACAAACCUUUCCUGUAGUUCUGUCCUUCAUACAGGUUAAAAUUAUCUCCUGAAUAUUUCCAGCCAGAUUCUGUGUAAAGCAGUAUUAGCUGACUUUGGUCAAUCAUUUAGAAGGAAAAAUUGGACAUUUAUGGUGUUGGAGUAACAUUGAUUGCACAAACACAGCUGAACAAGGCUUGGCCAAAGGCAUGUGGGAGCCUAACGAGGGAAUGAACAGAUUUUGUUGCUACUGAAGAAAUCUCACUGCAUAUAGUCACUGCAAAUGGCAGUGUCUAUGCCAGCAUUUGGUAGUCCAUCCCAAGCAACUGGAUUAGAAUCACUUCUGCUAGAAUAGAAAGUGUGGAGCAGAAAAAUCCUCCCCACAAAACACCAUUGACUACUUUUGUGGUUGUCUCAUUUUUCAGCUGGACAAAUAAUACACAUGUUCUGUAUUCCAGGAAAGAAAUUCCUAAAAAUUAAUGGUAAUUCAAGCAAAAUCUUUGGUACUAAAAACUAUAUGCAUUUUCUUCCCCCAAAUACCUUUCCCUAAACUCCAAAUCAUAGUGCUCCAAUGCCAUUUAGUAGAGGGAUUAAAACGACUUUUUCUGAGUCACAUUUUUUUAAUCUAGAAUUUGUCUUGAUGAGUUGUGUCUAGUUUUCAAGAAGACCUAAUUUUCCUCAGUGGGUUUUUCCUACUAUAUGAACAUAUAAUUUGACAUGAGCACAUUCACUUCAGUGUAGGUUAUUUGGCUUCUUAAAAUUUUUCUUCUUAUUAAUAAGGUAAACAGCUCUGGAAAGUUCUUGUUGUUCUAACUAUAAAACCGUCCAUAUACAGAAAUCAAAAUGCAGAGGUUUUCUUCCAUUUAUACCCACCAAGAACUAAUGGAGUUCUGCCCAGGUACCAGCUCCAGCCUUGAUCUUUCAUUUGGAAGCUGUCAAGGUAGAUGGUGGUUUCCACUGAGAAUCAAAUCACAAAUCCCAAAAGUUAGAUCAAUUCUUAGGCAGCAAAAAAUGUACUGUGUUCCAUCUAUUUAUAUAUUUAAUUAUACUUACAGACAUAGCAACCAGGCCACAAAUUGCAUAAUUAUUUAGCUACCAGGCAGACACAGCAUUACCACCAUGACGAGGGAUUUGAGUAAAUAUCCUGUUACAGGUUACUUCACUGCUCUGUGCCAUUCCUCCUCACCAGUUCUGUAGCAGCAAAGCAGGCAGAAGAGGGCCCUAAUUUGGAGCAGUGUUCUGCUUUGGGAGCAGCACUAAGGCCCUGAAAGGGAAGAUUUAGAUUCUUGUGGUGCCUGCCUGCAGUGACCCGGUGUGAGUGUUAGUUAACCCCUGCCCUCCUGGCCUGGGAAGGUUUCCUACCUGCCCUGUUCCCUUACACCUAGAAGUGCUGAGGAUUCACAGGCACUGCAGGAAGAAUGGGUCUGUUUUGGCAGCAGUGAUGAAAAAUACAUAGGCCUACGCUUUGCAUUAAAGAGCAGGUUCUUCAUGUGACUCACCAGUGAUUUCUGAGAACAACCAAAGAGCUGAAUUAGUGAUUAUCCUGAGCUGAAACCUUGCAGUGUCCUCUGUGCCUGGGAGAGCAGUGCCUCGCACCCUGUGUGAGUGACGUGUGACAGGAAAACAGAGGGGGCAAAUCCCAGGAGGCCCUUCUGCAGCAUGUGGAAAGGCUAAUUCAGAUGUAAAAAUAAAAGAACACAUGAAUCAGAACGGCUCUGUGCUCUCUGGCAGCAAACCUCUCACUUGAAUAAACUCAAUAGAAGCAAAAUUAUGUUCAAGUUUCUGAGCAAAAUUGGUGGCAGAGGUUGAAGGCAGACAGAUAAGUAGGCAGCCGAAAAAUAUUUCCUGGCUUAUUCAAAUGAAGAAAUUAGUCUCUGUAAACUGAACAGAACUGAGCUUGUUUGUGUCAUCUACUGUUUUCAUGUGAGUGUGCCAAGUUAUUUAUUACAUUUGAAGCCCCCUGGAAUAAGGUCAUAUGACUAUUCUCAUACUUUAUAAAAUCAGAUGUGACUCAUCAGAAAGUACUCCUAUCAGAAAGAAAAUGGGCAAAAGUAAUCAGUAAUGAAAAUUGAAUAAGAACUACUGAAUUUAUGUAAUGUUGCAGUACAUGCUUUACCUGUAUUUUUUCAUAAGAUGAAAUAUGGUAAGUGUCUUUAGUGAGCAGAAUCCAGCACUCAAAAACCUGUGACUCAGCACUUCCAAUGAAUGCCAGCAGCUAAAUUCUGAAUAAUAAUAAAAAAACCUUAACUCCCCAGCUCAUCAAUUUAGUGCCAAUAAGAACUGCAGGCUCAGUGUCUGUGAGACAGCCACCCCCGUGCCUCUGUUCUGAAGCAGAGAUGUCCUGCAAAGGACAGAUCAGAAGAAUGAUGUCACUAGCACUGUCAGGAUACAUUUAAAUUUAUCAGAAUCUACUUCCUGACUUCUUUCUUUUCAGACUUUAAAUAAUAAAAAUAAUGGCCAGAGUAAUUUGAUACUUAAUUUACCUUGCUGUUUUUCACUAUGUUUCCCCUUUUGGUAGGGGCCACCAAGGUGAUUUGUUGACUCCAUGAUACAGAUCAAUUGACUGUUUUAUGAGUUACAGUAGCAACAGGAUUAAGUGCAAUUGCUAUGAUUUUUAGAUCCAUGUUUUGAAUUUUUAGCUGUUACUAAAAUCAGUAGAAGUCCAGUGUCCACUCACCUGACAGCUCUGCUUUAAAGAAAUGUGUACUUAACAGGAAUUCCAUUUUAGAUUAAAGGAAGACAAAAUCAUAGUUAAUUGUUCAGCUGUCCAUACAGACUCAUUAAUCACAGCCAUGGACAGUUUUAAGUGAGUUUUUACCAAAUGUAUUUAUUUAUAUAAUGUCAAGAGAGUAAGCAGAUUUUUCAAAAAGUUUUCCAAAUGUUGCUGUAAAUAAGGUGAAUUAAAAUGAGGUACAGAAAUUAGAGAGACGUUUCAUUUUUGAUAGACAUAGUUUAGGCCUGAGUGUUGCAUGUGUUGAAGUAAUUUUAAAUAAUUUUUUUUUAACAGUCUGUGGUUCUUUUCUAUAAAAAUUAAGCUUUCUGUAAUAAAUGUGCUUCAAUAGGUGGCAAUAGCCAAUUACCACUUUUAAGCUGUCAAAGGAAUUAAACAAAUCCAAUUUAAUUCUUCACGUUUGUUUCCUCUGGAGGAGGGACAAAGUGACACUAUAUUCAGCUAAUAACUAUAAAUCCUAAAAUAGAAGAAAAGAAUAAUUUGUUUAGAGACAUUUAGUCUCUAACUCUUUGCAUUUGCCCCUCAUAAUGAUCCUAGCUUAUAAGGAGUACAACUAUCCCAAAGGAUUAAAUAUGCACAAGGUGCUAAAUCUUUCCAGUUGCUCAGGGAAACUGUCUUUCUUUUCGCAGUUGAAUUUUAUUACUUUGGCUAUAGAUUAGGAAAGAAAAAAUAGCUGAAUAGUUAGAAUUAUGCUCUCUGAAAACACAAGCAUGUAUCCAAUAUAUGUGAUGAAAAGGGCAAAGACAAAUAGGAGCCAUGUAUGGGAAAUAAUGGUGUAAUGGAAAAUGAUGAUGUUCACUGAGUGAUGGGUUGCUGAGGAAACUCCAGGUCAGUUCACAGACUUAAGGCUAAAUACUCUUUUGCAGGGCCAGAAAGAAAGACUCAAGGGUUGCUCAGGCAGUGGAACCCAAAUAGGCCACACGAGCUGAAACACUGCUGCAGAAAGUGAAGAAACAGAAAGCAGACAGUGUCAGCAUGUGAAACAGUCACACCAUGUGUUCUUUGCUCCAGCCUGCAUUGUAAGGAACAGUAACUUCAAAGGCAGAAUUAAAGAUAUUGUGACUGAGCUGUUAAUGCUAGUCAUACUACAGCCAUACUUACAUAGAUACAGUGCUUGCAGUAUGUUCAAGCCUAUUGAAAGUUCUAGUUCUGAGAUUUAAAAAAUAUUUAAAAAUAUUUCCUACAUCUUAAUUUUUCAGUUUUCUGAAAUUUUUGAAGUUUUCUGUUAAAAAAUAGGUUCUCAUGAAAUUUGAGGGGCAGAUUUCUAAUCUGAAAUUUAGAAAGGCAGGAUUGAAUAUCCUGGCCAAUUGUAUAAUUUACACCCCAUUUGAUAUCUGCCACAACAAAUUGCAGUCUUGGACUAGCAGCCCUACAGCAGUGUUUGGAACUACCAUUAGACAGCUUUACCCUUUGCUUUGGAGGCCUAAUACAUUUUGCUGGGCUAUUUUUAAGUCAGCCUAGAAUCUGGUCUACAGUGCAGAAUACUAACAAGCACACUGAACUGUCUGCUGUAGCUCAGUUUUUAGUUCCACUUGGAAAGCAAUUAGAUAAACAUGAAAUGAGUAACCUGGUAGAGCUGCUGCUCCCCCUUUUCAUGUCCUCAUUUUGAGAGGAAGAAUUUUGAGCAGAUGUUUUCUGUUAGCAGCUGACAGACGUUUGACAGAAAUGCCUCACUGGACACAAAAGUGCUUCUUGCUGACCUAGUAUCUGCAGUAAGUGGCACACAGGAACAUGGGAAGUGUUGUGAUGAGUCAGACCACGAUCUCACAGCCCUGUGAUCCAUCUCUGGGAGAGCUCAUGUCCCUGACCAAAAUUUGCAGGCUCCUCUCUGUUCUUUCCAAGGCAGAAUGCAGGAUGGCAUGUUGCUGCCCAGCCCUUUAGCAAAUGUUUUCCAAACCCACCGCCCUUUGCCUACUCUGUGUUAUGAAAUCCCUCUGGAUUUCAUUCCUAUCAGUAUAUCUGAAUACUUGAAAGAGCUUGUUUUCUGCAGUCUUGAAGAUUUCUCUAUUCAUCCUCUUCUUUGAGUCAGUAAUGGUGAUGAAUAAAAAUUGGUCCCUGGUAUACUCUGUUACUGAAUUCUUUCCUCCCAAGCUUUAUUCAGUGCUUCCAAUCUUUCAUCUGCUUUCAAUCCAUAAAAGAACAUUUCCCCCAGUCUUGUGUCAACCUGUUUGCCUUUGGCCUCCUGUAAUGCCCAUGUUAAUGACACCAUUGCUGUGUUUGUCCAAGCUCACGCAGAAUGUGUGACAUCAGAUUUCCUUCUUCAUUCAGACCCAGAAAUGUGAAGGAGACGUGAGCUGUCCAUCCAGAGACUUUCUGCACACAACACAGAAAUGUCCUGAGCUGCAGGCAGCCAGGGGUGGUCUUCUGUACCUCAACUCCCCCUCAACACAGACUGAUGCCUAGUCAUCCCCUCUCAGAGCUGCACCAUUCUACACUACACUAAUUAGCCACUGUAAAAUCACAAGAGUAGAUGAAUGCUGUCACUAGUGCCCAGCACCUUUGUAAUCCACAGCUCUGGUUCUAUUUAAAGGAAUCUUCUCAGCCCCUGAUGAUUGCAAACAAUCACCUCCUAAUAGCAGUGGGAUAUUUUGACUCAGUCAAGGCAAAUUAGAUAAACUGGGAUAAAACAAUAUAACAGUCAUUUAUUUUUGGCAGUAAGACCAAGAAGUUACUCCAAAAUGUUAUUUAGCUCUGUAACUACUUACCAGAGGAUCCAAAAGAGUUGGAACAAUGUGACUCUGAAGUAGAAGAGAAAAUGACCAAAAUCAGAGACUACGGCAAAUGUAGGCAAUACUUAAUUAACAUGAUGAUCCAAACAAUAGAAACACUCUAAUGAACGGUAUCUAGUCAAGAUAAUGUAGCCAGUUCAAACAUCAGUUUUAAUUAAUAGGUCUAAUGGUAUCAAAUCUGGAUAAAAUAGGUUAUCCCACUGUAUGUCACAGCUGUGUUUUUACUCUUAAGAACCUUCCCUAGUAAUUAAUGUGAUGCACUGUGGUUCACAGCUUACUGUCACACCCCUCACACUGGUAUCUUCAUGGCUCUGUUAAAAUUCCUAAGGGCUGGUGUGCUCUGACACUAACAGAAACUGUGACAUUGAUUUUUCUGAAAUGUGCAGGUCUUUACUUCUCAAUGAAUUAUUACCCAUAGUCACAAAAGGGUUUGAUUUAAAAAUUUUUUUCUAAUAAGUCAACAACAUGGUUCUGUAUGUCACAUACUUCAGUGACUUUUCUGUUAAUUUUAGGUAUGGAGGGUUACUCUGUGUUUGUGUUUUCUUUUAAACAGAUUCAUUAAACACCUGAAAUGGAUUAUGACCAGGCUAAUGGAUCAAGUCCAGGGAAGAAACUGUGCUCUGAAAUGUAGAGAUGAAAAAAAGGACAAGAGAACAAGAAGAGUUGUCAUCAGACCUUGUCAGUUGUGACUUCUCUUCAUGGACUUUGCCUCUUGUGUGUGCACUUACUGCAGUGAUUCAUGCACCAUGCUGGGCUUCCAUAGGUAAUUCUGGGAUAGACUGUAUGAAAAAAUAAGAUAAUCUAUGUUCCAAUGUAACAGAAAAUCAAGAUGUUACCCAGAUUUGAUAAACUUUUGAAUUAAUACCAUGUCACCCAAAUGGACACAUUCUACAUAUAGCUUCAGCCAGUUUUACAAUCACAUGUUGAAAAUUCUACCAGCCAGUAGUUUAAAAGCAGUGCUUUCUCAGGGGAAAAUAUGCAGGAGUGACUGAAGGAGGUUCUGUUCAGGGAGUAUAAUGGCAAGAACUGUGCUAGUAAGAUAUUUUAUUUAAAAUGAGAGUUUUGAAAUAGAUCAGAGAGUGAAUUUUAUAUAAGUCAGGUGGAAUCAUUAUUUAACACAGGAUACUUUGCAGAUUGUUUAAGCUCACAUUCCUAUGUACAGAUGUGAAAGCAAUACAAUAAAGACUGAUCUUUUCCAUGAAAAAUUAA